AGAGUUUGAUCAUGGCUCAGGAUGAACGCUGGCGGCGUGCUUAACACAUGCAAGUUGAACGUGAGAAUAGCAAUAUUUGAAAGUGGCAAACGGGUGAGUAACACGUGGGAACCUGCCUCGAAGUGGGGGAUAACGAUUGGAAACGGUCGCUAAUACCGCACGGUUCUGCUCUGAUGGGAAUGGAGCAGAUAAAGAUUUAUCGCUUUGAGAGGGGCCCGCGGCCGAUUAGCUAGUUGGUAAGGUAAAGGCUUACCAAGGCGAUUAUCGGUAGCUGGUCUGAGAGGACGAUCAGCCACACGGGAACUGAGACACGGUCCCGACUCCUACGGGGGGCAGCAGUGAGGAAUAUUGGGCAAUGGGCGAAAGCCUGACCCAGCAACGCCGCGUGGAGGAUGAAGGCUUUAGGGUUGUAAACUCCUUUUGUGGGGGAAAAGAAUGGAUGGUACCCCAAGAAUAAGUCACGGCUAACUACGUG
Molecule: ribosomal RNA, 475 nt
Filed under: uncultured bacterium
Lineage: Bacteria
Description: bacterial SSU rRNA
Rfam family: Bacterial small subunit ribosomal RNA
Source: RNAcentral